RNAcentral lists this ribosomal RNA (492 nucleotides) under uncultured bacterium. RNAcentral describes it as "partial 16S ribosomal RNA". It matches the Rfam family "Bacterial small subunit ribosomal RNA", at positions 29 to 507 of the family's 1533-position model. The record is from RNAcentral.
AGUGAACGCUGGCGGUAGGCCUAACACAUGCAAGUCGAACGGCAGCACAGUAAGAGCUUGCUCUUACGGGUGGCGAGUGGCGGACGGGUGAGGAAUACAUCGGAAUCUACUUUUUCGUGGGGGAUAACGUAGGGAAACUUACGCUAAUACCGCAUACGACCUACGGGUGAAAGCAGGGGAUCUUCGGACCUUGCGCGAUUGAAUGAGCCGAUGUCGGAUUAGCUAGUUGGCGGGGUAAAGGCCCACCAAGGCGACGAUCCGUAGCUGGUCUGAGCGGAUGAUCAGCCACACUGGAACUGAGACACGGUCCAGACUCCUGCAGGAGGCAGCAGUGGGGAAUAUUGGACAAUGGUCGCAAGCCUGAUCCAGCCAUACCGCGUGGGUGAAGAAGGCCUUCGGGUUGUGAAGCCCUUUUGUUGGGAAAGAAAAGCAGCAGGUUAAUACCCCGCUGUUCUGACGGUACCCAAAGAAUAAGCACCGGCUAACUUCGUG